This 796-nucleotide long non-coding RNA is filed under the name Monodelphis domestica (gray short-tailed opossum). RNAcentral's name for it is "lncRNA (ENSMODG00000048169.1)". The record is from RNAcentral. Lineage: Eukaryota; Metazoa; Chordata; Mammalia; Didelphimorphia; Didelphidae.
GAGCUUGAGCUUCCCUUCCCCGUGAAGGCUUUGAUAUGAUGUGAUUAAGUCCAGCUGGGUCAAAUUUGAUGUGCCUUGAGGCCAAAACCUCUGGGGGGGGGCAAUAUGGAUUGUCUCUGCUGCUGCAACUAUGGGAGGCCACUCUGCACUUUGAGCUUCUUCUCUAAUUGGUUUCCCACUGCCUGUGUUCAACGCUCUGAGCCUGGCACAGCUUUGCCCACAAGAGGCAUUGUACAAUCAGAUGUUAAAAUAUUUCAUUUGUUGAAUAAAGUGGAGGGCAGUUUAAACGUUGCUUGCUAAUGGAGACAAAUGACAGCUUCAUUCCCAUUGCUAUUGGCUGGAGGUAAUUACCACUGUUGUCACUGCUUUGGCACAGAUCACUGCCUGCAGAAGAAUCUAAUCUCCACUGUAAAAACAUGGAUAUCAGACACAAAUUAUUGCUUUUUGGCUCUGCUUAGAAGUUAUUUAAGGGUUGUAGCCAUGCUUUGUGCUUUCGCUGACUCAAACAAAAUACGGAUUCUGCAGACAGAAGGGCCACUCCGAGGAAGAACAGUGUCACCAGGCGAGUUUCUGGCUGUGUAACUGAUAUGAAUGAUCCACCAAGCAAGCAGGAAUAUACCAUGCAAAAUGGAAAAAAAAGCCAAUGAAAAUACAUGGAGACACAAGAAAUAAUGUUAUAAGUUCAAGGAACAACAAUGAUGAUGGACACCCUGGCCCACAAGACUCCCAAGGAUGGCCUGAAACAGGUUGAAAUGUAAUUGAGGGAAAAAAAAAAUAAAAAGCAACAUUGCACUCA